AUGGUUUGGUUUUAGGAAAUUUUCAACAAUAUUAAUAUUUUUGAUUGAAAACAGUAUGGAACAGUUUGUUGAUGCUAAAUAUGUUUAUCAUAACGUGUAAAAGUUCGCAUUGUUGUUGUAGCCACGUUUCCGUAUGUGGAGGUAGCGGUCCUCGUCAAUCUCCAAGGGCACCAAUAACUCGAGUACCAUGGCAUGACUUCUCACUGGGACUCUUAAUUCGUUGUUUUAUGUUGAAGAAGACUUAUCCUAUAGGACAGCUGACAAGAAGUGUUGCCAAUUGAAGUUACACCAUUUUUUUUAAUAUGAACUGGAGGCCAUCGUAGCGGAUGAUCGCGCAACUAUAGUUGCGAUAAUGGAUGAUCGCGCAACUAUAGUCGCAUUGCCCGGAGCUAAAACCAUGAAAUAAAAAAUUUAGCGUUCAGCUACUAAGUAAAUUGUAAAAAUAUAUGCGAUUUAAUAGAGAAA
This is a long non-coding RNA of Stomoxys calcitrans (stable fly), 465 nucleotides long. RefSeq lists it as uncharacterized. NCBI's taxonomy places the organism in Eukaryota, Metazoa, Arthropoda, Insecta, Diptera, Muscidae. The record is from RefSeq and is a predicted model, not a curated record. The transcript has 2 exons.